GGAAACUGGGGAACUUGAGUGCAGAAGAGGAGAGUGGAAUUCCACGUGUAGCGGUGAAAUGCGUAGAGAUGUGGAGGAACACCAGUGGCGAAGGCGACUCUCUGGUCUGUAACUGACGCUGAGGAGCGAAAGCGUGGGGAGCGAACAGGAUUAGAUACCCUGGUAGUCCACGCCGUAAACGAUGAGUGCUAAGUGUUAGGGGGUUUCCGCCCCUUAGUGCUGCAGCUAACGCAUUAAGCACUCCGCCUGGGGAGUACGGUCGCAAGACUGAAACUCAAAGGAAUUGACGGGGGCCCGCACAAGCGGUGGAGCAUGUGGUUUAAUUCGAAGCAACGCGAAGAACCUUACCAGGUCUUGACAUCCUCUGACAAUCCUAGAGAUAGGACGUCCCCUUCGGGGGCAGAGUGACAGGUGGUGCAUGGUUGUCGUCAGCUCGUGUCGUGAGAUGUUGGGUUAAGUCCCGCAACGAGCGCAACCCUUGAUCUUAGUUGCCAGCAUUCAGUUGGGCACUCUAAGGUGACUGCCGGUGACAAACCGGAGGAAGGUGGGGAUGACGUCAAAUCAUCAUGCCCCUUAUGACCUGGGCUACACACGUGCUACAAUGGACAGAACAAAGGGCAGCGAAACCGCGAGGUUAAGCCAAUCCCACAAAUCUGUUCUCAGUUCGGAUCGCAGUCUGCACUCGACUGCGUGAGCUGGAUCGCUAGUAAUCGCGGAUCAGCAUGGCCGCGGGUGAUACGU
RNAcentral lists this ribosomal RNA (741 nucleotides) under Firmicutes bacterium CPB4. RNAcentral describes it as "bacterial SSU rRNA". It matches the Rfam family "Bacterial small subunit ribosomal RNA", at positions 628 to 1371 of the family's 1533-position model. Lineage: Bacteria; Bacillati; Bacillota. The record is from RNAcentral.